Molecule: ribosomal RNA, 490 nt
Filed under: uncultured bacterium
Lineage: Bacteria
Description: partial 16S ribosomal RNA
Rfam family: Bacterial small subunit ribosomal RNA
Source: RNAcentral
AUUGAACGCUGGCGGCAGGCCUAACACAUGCAAGUCGAACGGUAACAGGAAGAAGCUUGCUUCUUUGCUGACGAGUGGCGGACGGGUGAGUAAUGUCUGGGAAACUGCCUGAUGGAGGGGGAUAACUACUGGAAACGGUAGCUAAUACCGCAUAACGUCGCAAGACCAAAGAGGGGGACCUUCGGGCCUCUGGCCAUCGGAUGUGCCCAGAUGGGAUUAGCUAGUAGGUGGGGUAACGGCUCACCUAGGCGACGAUCCCUAGCUGGUCUGAGAGGAUGACCAGCCACACUGGAACUGAGACACGGUCCAGACUCCUACGGGAGGCAGCAGUGGGGAAUAUUGCACAAUGGGCGCAAGCCUGAUGCAGCCAUGCCGCGUGUAUGAAGAAGGCCUUCGGGUUGUAAAGUACUUUCAGCGGGGAGGAAGGGAGUAAAGUUAAUACCUUUACUCAUUGACGUUACCCGCAGAAGAAGCACCGGCUAACUCCGUG